GAUGAACGCUGGCGGUAUGCCUAACACAUGCAAGUCGUACGAGAGUUUUUAACUCUAGUGGCGGACGGGUGAGUAACACGUGAGAAUUUGCCUUUAGGAGGGGGAUAACAAUUGGAAACGAAUGCUAAUACCCCAUAUGCUUUUGAGUGAAACGGAUUUAUCCGCCUAGAGAGAAGCUCGCGGCUGAUUAGCUUGUUGGUAAGGUAAGAGCUUACCAAGGCGACGAUCAGUAUCUGGUUUGAGAGGACGAUCAGACACACUGGAACUGAGACACGGUCCAGACUCCUACGGGAGGCAGCAGUGGGGAAUUUUCCGCAAUGGGCGAAAGCCUGACGGAGCAAUACCGCGUGAGGGAAGACUGCCUAUGGGUUGUAAACCUCUUUUUUCAGGGUAGGAAUAAAAUGACGUGUACCUGAAGAAUAAGCAUCGGCUAACUCCGUG
This 441-nucleotide ribosomal RNA is filed under the name uncultured bacterium. RNAcentral's name for it is "bacterial SSU rRNA". It matches the Rfam family "Bacterial small subunit ribosomal RNA", at positions 28 to 507 of the family's 1533-position model. The record is from RNAcentral.